AAGAUCGGAAGAGGUGCGAAACUCAGGUAGUUAAUUGGAAAAGUCUAAGCUUUGAAGAUAAUUAGCGAGGGGAGUGAUCGCCGAGGAGUUAAUAUGCUUAGGACAUAUUACUUCGGUUGUUGAGGUUGAAUCCUUGCAAUUGUCACCAAUUAAGGGUGGAGAGCUUUCGGCAGU
RNAcentral lists this non-coding RNA (174 nucleotides) under Catenovulum maritimum. Its description in RNAcentral is "Lysine riboswitch aptamer". It matches the Rfam family "Lysine riboswitch aptamer". Rfam says of the family: Riboswitches are metabolite binding domains within certain messenger RNAs that serve as precision sensors for their corresponding targets. Allosteric rearrangement of mRNA structure is mediated by ligand binding, and this results in modulation of gene expression. This family includes riboswitches that sense lysine in a number of genes involved in lysine metabolism, including lysC. The record is from Rfam by way of RNAcentral. RNAcentral also lists the same sequence under 1 other name. Lineage: Bacteria; Pseudomonadati; Pseudomonadota; Gammaproteobacteria; Alteromonadales; Alteromonadaceae.